UACGUAGGGGGCAAGCGUUGUCCGGAUUUAUUGGGCGUAAAGAGCGUGUAGGCGGCCAUACAGGUCAGCUGUGAAAACUCGGGGCUUAACCCCGAGCCUGCAGUGGAUACGGGCAGACUAGAGGUAGGUAGGGGAGAAUGGAAUUCCCGGUGUAGCGGUGAAAUGCGCAGAUAUCGGGAGGAACACCGGUGGCGAAGGCGGUUCUCUGGGCCUUACCUGACGCUGAGGAGCGAAAGCGUGGGGAGCGAACAGG
RNAcentral lists this ribosomal RNA (253 nucleotides) under uncultured bacterium. Its description in RNAcentral is "partial 16S ribosomal RNA". It matches the Rfam family "Bacterial small subunit ribosomal RNA", at positions 524 to 776 of the family's 1533-position model. The record is from RNAcentral.